Molecule: non-coding RNA, 73 nt
Organism: Budorcas taxicolor (takin)
Lineage: Eukaryota; Metazoa; Chordata; Mammalia; Artiodactyla; Bovidae
Source: the annotation of a RefSeq genome assembly
GCUGAAAUAGCUCAGUUGGAAGAGUGUUAGAUUGACGAUCUAAAUGCCCCUGGUUCAAUCUCAGAUUUCGGCA